UUCCCGUUGGCAGUCCUGGCAGCGCGAGCCCGGAAGCGGACGGGGGCGGUGGCGGAGGCGCCUCCGGCCGGCCGGGGUUGCAGCUCCGUCCUCCCCACUCGUGGCUCCCCGCGUACCGUGGCGUGGACAAAGAGAUGCAGUCCCCGCCCCCAGACCCGCUGGGCGACUGCCUGCGCAACUGGGAGGAUCUGCAGCAGGACUUCCAAGGUAUUCAGGAAACACACCGCCUGUACCGCCUGAAGCUAGAGGAACUGACCAAACUCCAGGACAACUGUACGAACUCCAUCACUCGCCAGAAGAAAAAGCUCCAGGAGCUGGCCUUGGUGCUGAAAAAAUGCAGACCCUCUCUCCCGUCCGAGUCUGCGGAGGCCGCACAGGACCUGGAAAACCAGAUGAAGGAGCGCCAAGGCCUCUUCUUUGACAUGGAAGCCUAUUUGCCUAAGAAGAACGGGUUGUACCUGAGUCUGGUUCUGGGGAAUGUCAACGUGACACUUCUGAGCAAGCAGGCCAAGUUUGCGUACAAAGAUGAGUAUGAGAAAUUCAAGCUCUACCUCACCAUCAUUCUCAUUGUCCUCUCCUUCUCCUGCCGCUUCCUGCUCAACUCCAGGGUGACAGAUGCUGCCUUCAACUUCCUGCUGGUAUGGUAUUACUGCACACUGACCAUCCGAGAGAGCAUCCUCAUCAAUAACGGUUCCAGGAUCAAAGGCUGGUGGGUUUUCCAUCAUUACGUGUCCACAUUCCUGUCGGGAGUCAUGCUAACCUGGCCAGAUGGUCUCAUGUACCAGAAGUUCCGGAACCAGUUUCUGUCUUUCUCCAUGUACCAGAGCUUUGUGCAGUUUCUGCAGUAUUACUAUCAGAGCGGGUGUCUGUACCGCCUGCGCGCCCUGGGUGAACGACACACUAUGGAUCUCACCGUAGCCUGCUCACCACCUCAGCUUUUUCCCACCCCCUACAGAGGGCUUCCAGUCCUGGAUGUGGAGAGGCCUUACCUUCCUGCUUCCUUUUCUCUUCUUUGGACAUUUCUGGCAGCUCUUUAAUGCACUGACAUUGUUCAACUUGGCCAGGGACCCUGAGUGCAAGGAGUGGCAGGUGCUCAUGUGCGGCUUCCCCUUUCUUCUCCUCUUCCUUGGCAACUUUUUCACGACCCUCCGGGUGGUACACCAGAAGUUCCACAGCCAGCAGCAAGGGAGCAAGAAGGAUUAAGCUAGAUGUGAUGGCCAGCCCCAAAGGGGCUUCGCCCUGUGUGCCAGGUGGGGUGGCAGGUUGGUGCACCCCGGUGUGUAUGGGGGUUCCCUUCUGUGCCCCCUGGGCUUCGUGGGCUCUGUGGGCCCUGAGGAAGGCUUGGGCUCAGAGCCCAGCUUGUAGGAUGUGGGCUCUGGGCCUCAAUAAAGGAAGAGAGGCAUG
Molecule: RNA transcript, 1404 nt
Organism: Phodopus roborovskii (desert hamster)
Lineage: Eukaryota; Metazoa; Chordata; Mammalia; Rodentia; Cricetidae
Gene: Tmem120a
Gene name: transmembrane protein 120A
Exons: 12
Source: RefSeq, a predicted model, not a curated record